Carassius auratus (goldfish) is the source of this 564-nucleotide long non-coding RNA. RefSeq lists it as uncharacterized. The record is from RefSeq and is a predicted model, not a curated record. Lineage: Eukaryota; Metazoa; Chordata; Actinopteri; Cypriniformes; Cyprinidae. The transcript is spliced from 3 exons.
AUAUUAAUUGUCUGUUUUACAGUGUGAUCCUGGAGAGUGACCCACAACAGGUGGUUCACCGUGUUGCUCUGAGGGGCGAUGACGUGCCUCUGACAGAACAGACAGUCACUCAGGUGCUACAGUCAGCUAAGGAGCAGAUCAAAUGGUCACUGCUCCGAUAGGACACUUUUGAUCCCAUUCCUGAACUGAGACGAGGAGAACAAAUACAAUGUAACCACUUUUCAUCUCUACUGUCCUAUCUGUCCUUUUUUCCUUGAGUGUUUCUUGACUGUUAAAGUGCACAUCCAUGACUAGUGUCUCUCUCACUCGAAGAUAAGACCAGGAACAUGAGCAUUUCAAAAGAAUGUCAAGGCAAAAGGAAGAAGCUGGGAUAUUGUCUUGGCGGGACUUUCUUUUUUAGGGAAAAGUACCGGGGUGUUCCAGUAAGCGCUUGAGUAUAUGGCUGGUUUGUGAAUGAUAUCACUGUUGUACUGCGAGAUAUUCAUUACGAUUCAUGUACAUUCCAGUGGUUGAUCUUGUUCUCUGUUCUUGUUUUGAUUGAAGUAAAGAAACAGUUUCAUCCUA